ACGAACGCUGGCGGCGUGCCUAAUACAUGCAAGUCGAACGGUCUUUCUAUGGAAGCUUGCUUCCACUGAAAAGAUAGUGGCGAACGGGUGAGUAACACGUGGGUAACCUGCCCAUAAGAGGGGGGAUAACAUCCGGAAACGGGUGCUAAUACCGCAUAGUUUUCUUGAUCGCAUGAUCGGGAAAGGAAAGACGGCCUUUGUGCUGUCGCUUAUGGAUGGACCCGCGGCGUAUUAGUUAGUUGGUGAGGUAACGGCUCACCAAGACGAUGAUACGUAGCCGACCUGAGAGGGUGAUCGGCCACAUUGGGACUGAGACACGGCCCAAACUCCUACGGGAGGCAGCAGUAGGGAAUCUUCCGCAAUGGACGAAAGUCUGACGGAGCAACGCCGCGUGAGUGAAGAAAAGGUUUUCGGAUCGUAAAACUCUGUUGUCAGAGAAGAACAAGUUGGAGAGUAACUGCUCCAGCCUUGACGGUAUCUGACCAGAAAGCCACGGCUAACUACGUGCCAGCCGCUGC
RNAcentral lists this ribosomal RNA (518 nucleotides) under uncultured bacterium. Its description in RNAcentral is "bacterial SSU rRNA". It matches the Rfam family "Bacterial small subunit ribosomal RNA", at positions 29 to 518 of the family's 1533-position model. The record is from RNAcentral.